CUAGGCACCAGAAGCCGAUGAAGGUCGUAGGAGGCUGCGAAAAGCCUCGGGGAGCCGCCAACCAGGCUUCGAUCCGAGGAUUACCGAAUGGGGAAACCCGGCUGGAGUAAUGUCCAGUCAUUUCUCUCUGAAUAAAUAGGAGAGUCAAAGGUAACGAGGGGAAGUGAAACAUCUCAGUACCCUCAGGAAGAGAAAACAACCGUGAUUCCGUUAGUAGUGGCGAGCGAAAGCGGAAGAGGCUAAACCAAUCAUGUGCCAAGCCGGCAGGCGUUGCAUGAUCGGUGUCGUGGGACUAAAUGAAAUUAACUGCCGUUAAUUUAACAAGUCAGAAAAUAGUGAAAUAGAUGAAGGACGUGGGAAAGUCCGGCAUAGAAGGUGAGACCCCUGUAGUCGAAAUUUCAUUAUCUUGUUUUUAGUAUCCCAAGUAAUACCGGACUCGUGUAAUCCGGUAUGAAUCUGGCGGGACCACCCGCUAAGCCUAAAUACUCUCUGGUGACCGAUAGUGAACAAGUACCGUGAGGGAAAGGUGAAAAGAACCCCGCAAGGGGAGUGAAAUAGAAUCUGAAACCGUUUGCAUACAAACCGUUGGAGCUGCCUUGUGCAGUGACAGCGUGCCUUUUGAAGAAUGAGUCUACGAGUUAGUGUGAUGUAGCAAGGUUAACCCGUCGAGGGGAAGCCGUAGCGAAAGCGAGUCUGAAUAGGGCGAAUAAGUUGCAUCAUCUAAACCCGAAGCGAGGUGAUCUCGCCAUGACCAGGUUGAAGCGCGGGUAAGACCGCGUGGAGGACCGAACCCACUAAAGUUGAAAAUUUAGGGGAUGAGUUGUGGCUAGGGGUGAAAGACCAAUCAAACUUCGUGAUAGCUGGUUCUCUCCGAAAUGCAUUUAGGUGCAGCGUCACGUGUUUCUUACUGGAGGUAGAGCUACUGGAUGGCCGAGGGGUCCUACAAGAUUACCAACGUCAGCCAAACUCCGAAUGCCAGUAAGUGAGAACGUGGCAGUGAGACAGUGGGGGAUAAGCUUCAUUGUCGAGAGGGAAACAACCCAGAACAGCAACUAAGGUCCCAAAGCCUGUGCUAAGUGGAAAAGGAUGUGAAGUCGCAUAGACAACCAGGAGGUUGGCUUAGAAGCAGCCACCCUUAAAAGAGUGCGUAAUAGCUCACUGGUCAAGUGAUUUCGCGCCGACAAUGUAACGGGGCUCAAGCACAGCACCGAAGUUCUGUCAUUCACACACUAUCCCGGUCGCAAGAUCCAGGAGUGUGGAUGGGUAGGAGAGCGUUGUGUAACUAGUGAAGCGGCGGAGGAAUCCAGCCGUGGAAGUUACACAAGUGAGAAUGUAGACAUGAGUAGCGAAAGACGGGUGAGAAACCCGUCCACCGAAUGACCAAGGGUUCCUGAGCCAGGCUAAUCCGCUCAGGGUAAGUCGGGUCCUAAGGCGAGGCCGACAGGCGUAGUCGAUGGACAACUGGUUGAUAUUCCAGUACCCACAAUAAACCGACCGUGACGAAUCAAUAAUGCUAAGUGUUUGAAGUUGGCUAGCAAUAGCUGAUGGAGCGCACGACCCAAGUUGGUAGUAGUCAAGCAAUGGAGAGACGCAGGAAGGUAGUCCAACCCAGGCGAUGGUUGACCUGGGGUAAGAGUGUAGGAGGUUCUGUAGGCAAAUCCGCAGAACAAUCUCUGAGACUUAAUGCCGAGCCGUAAGGCGAAGUGGAUGAUCCUAUGCUGCCAAGAAAAUCUUCUAGCGAGGUUUAUAGUGGCCCGUACCCGAAACCGACACAGGUGGUCAGGUAGAGAAUACCAAGGUGAUCGAGAGAAUCGUGGUGAAGGAACUCGGCAAAAUACCCCCGUAACUUCGGGAGAAGGGGGGCUAAUUUUUGUGUAGAGGUUUACCUUCGAAGCAUAAGUUAGACGCUAAACGGCGGUGGUAACUAUAACCAUCCUAAGGUAGCGAAAUUCCUUGUCGGGUAAGUUCCGACCUGCACGAAUGGCGUAACGACUUGAGCGCUGUCUCCACCAUGAACUCGGCGAAAUUGCAGUACGAGUAAAGAUGCUCGUUACGCGCGGAAAGACGGAAAGACCCCGGGACCUUUACUAUAUCUUGAUAUUGGUACUCGGAACGUUCUGUGUAGCAUAGGUGGGAGACUUUGAAGCGGCACGCCAGUGUUCGUGGAGUCAAAAAUUGAAAUACCACUCUGAACGUUUUGAGUUUCUAACCUCGGCCCAUUAUCUGGGUCAGGGACAGUGUCUGGUGGGUAGUUUAACUGGGGCGGUUGCCUCCCAAAAAGUAACGGAGGCGCUCAAAGGUUCCCUCAGCCUGGUUGGUAAUCAGGUGUCGAGUGUAAGUGCACAAGGGAGCUUAACUGUGAGACAGACAUGUCAAGCAGGUGCGAAAGCAGGAACUAGUGAUCCGGCGGUGGCUUGUGGAAGCGCCGUCGCUCAACGGAUAAAAGGUACCCCGGGGAU
RNAcentral lists this ribosomal RNA (2459 nucleotides) under Candidatus Allofontibacter communis. RNAcentral's name for it is "partial 23S ribosomal RNA". It matches the Rfam family "Bacterial large subunit ribosomal RNA", at positions 32 to 2475 of the family's 2925-position model. The record is from RNAcentral. Lineage: Bacteria; Pseudomonadati; Pseudomonadota; Alphaproteobacteria; Candidatus Pelagibacterales; Candidatus Pelagibacteraceae.